CUUCUACAUCCUGCCAUGGUUCAUCUUUGUGCUGUAGCUGGAACUGGUGUUGACGUGAUGAUAAGCAAGUGAAGGGUCGUCACGGCAGCAAUCCAGCCGACAAAUGUCGGAUGUUUUCACCUCAUGGCAAACUGCUGUUAUCCAUGCUUGGAUAGAAGACCCGUACGUGGAGAUGUGUCUUGCCUUUCCAUGCAGCUGGAACAAAUAACGAUGUCAUCAGUUGUGGGGAAAAGUCUUCAUUUUAAUGAAGUACUUCAAGCCGUUCCAUCCCAUCGUCCAGCAUGUGUUAGUGAAGGUUUCGACUUCAGGUGAGACGCCAUGAUUGCAUCAGAC
Molecule: long non-coding RNA, 333 nt
Organism: Cynoglossus semilaevis (tongue sole)
Lineage: Eukaryota; Metazoa; Chordata; Actinopteri; Pleuronectiformes; Cynoglossidae
Exons: 3
Source: RefSeq, a predicted model, not a curated record